UACGUAGGGGGCAAGCGUUGUCCGGAAUCAUUGGGCGUAAAGCGCGUGUAGGCGGCCCGGUAAGUCCGCUGUGAAAGUCCAGGGCUCAACCCUGGGAUGCCGGUGGAUACUGUCGGGCUCGAGUGUGGCAGAGGGGGGUGGAAUUCCGCGUGUAGCAGUGAAAUGCGUAGAGAUGCGGAGGAACACCGAUGGCGAAGGCAGCCCCCUGGGCCAACACUGACGCUCAGGCACGAAAGCGUGGGGAGCAAACAGG
This 253-nucleotide ribosomal RNA is filed under the name uncultured bacterium. RNAcentral's name for it is "partial 16S ribosomal RNA". It matches the Rfam family "Bacterial small subunit ribosomal RNA", at positions 524 to 776 of the family's 1533-position model. The record is from RNAcentral.